GUAAGGAAUAUUGGUCAAUGGACGCAAGUCUGAACCAGCCAUGCCGCGUGGAGGAUGAAGGCCCUCUGGGUUGUAAACUUCUUUUCUUUGGGACGAAACCCCUAUUUCUAUGGGGACUGACGGUACCAGAGGAAUAAGCACCGGCUAACUCCGUGCCAGCAGCCGCGGUAAUACGGAGGGUGCAAGCGUUGUCCGGAUUUACUGGGCGUAAAGAGCGCGCAGGCGGCUGGUCAAGUCCGAUGUGAAAUCUCCCGGCUCAACUGGGAAACUGCAUCGGAAACUGAUCGGCUUGAAGGUGGGAGAGGGUAGUGGAAUUCCCGGUGUAGUGGUGAAAUGCGUAGAUAUCGGGAGGAACACCAGUGGCGAAGGCGACUACCUGGCCCAUUCUUGACGCUGAGGCGCGAAAGCUAGGGGAGCGAACGGGAUUAGAUACCCUGGUAGUCC
This 444-nucleotide ribosomal RNA is filed under the name uncultured bacterium. Its description in RNAcentral is "bacterial SSU rRNA". It matches the Rfam family "Bacterial small subunit ribosomal RNA", at positions 354 to 796 of the family's 1533-position model. The record is from RNAcentral.